RNAcentral lists this ribosomal RNA (253 nucleotides) under uncultured bacterium. RNAcentral's name for it is "partial 16S ribosomal RNA". It matches the Rfam family "Bacterial small subunit ribosomal RNA", at positions 524 to 776 of the family's 1533-position model. The record is from RNAcentral.
UACGAAGGGGGCUAGCGUUGUCCGGAUUCAUUGGGCGUAAAGAGCGUGUAGGCGGCCAGGUAGGUCGGUUGUGAAAACUGGAGGCUCAACCUUCAGAGGUCGACCGAAACCAUCUGGCUAGAGUCCGGGAGAGGAGAGUGGAAUUCCUGGUGUAGCGGUGAAAUGCGCAGAUAUCAGGAAGAACACCCGUGGCGAAAGCGGCUCUCUGGAACGGUACUGACGCUGAGACGCGAAAGCGUGGGGAGCGAACAGG